UCUUUAAAUCAGUACUUUGCAAGAGAUGUGUCAUAAAUGCUUUAGGUUUUUCAUUUUAUUUUUAGUGGGGCCUCUUAUCUUUUGCCCAGGUUUGUUGAGAUCAUCUGGACUUUGGUCAGGAAAUUAUCUACUAAUCCUAAUAGUGCUGCUAUAAUGGCCAUGGGUGUUAACAUCUUGGAAAAGAUGUUGAAAUGUUGCCCUUCAUACGUUUCUGCAGCAGCUGUUAAGGCAAAUUUAUUUGAUGUGGCUUUAAAUACAAAUAUUCUUGAUACUGGCUCUAAUGGUUCCUUGAGGCCAUACAGAUUGGCGCCACUAAAGUACUUUCAAUGCUGUUGAUGACAGCAGAUUUCUUGCCACCAUAUUUUUCUGCAAGCAGCUUUGAUCUAGAUGAUAAACAGGUUUAGCGUGUUCGAGUUAAUACAUUUUCUUUCCUGAUCAUUAAUUUUUUUAUUUGAACAACUGACCCAUUGUUUCUCAUUUAAUAUAUUUUAAUUAAUACAUUGUCUAGGUUGCUGAUUUGAAAGAUUCUGUAAGCUUUAUUCUACUAGAGCAAUCUGAAGAAAAUGAAGACUUAUUUGUUGCUACCAUCAAUCUUUUCACUUCUACUGCUCGUUAGCAGGUGUGCUACUUUUUGACAUUUGUAUAUGUUUUUUGGUGUCAAUAAGUGAAUCACUCUUAGGUAAUUUUCUGUUGUUUCAUUUUGGGAUUUCUCAUUAACUGUUUAUAUUGAACUUUGUGUUCUAUACAACCUGCUUUUUUUAUUGCUGUAUUUGCCACCAAAGAGUUUAUGGACGUCCAACCAGGUAAUGUUGGUGAUGGGAAGCUGCCAGCAAUUGAGGUUUCCUCUGGGCCAGUAGAGUUUAAAAGUUCAAGCCUUGUAGAUGCAGUACUUUGUUAUGUUGUAAAUUCUAACAGUCAUAUCAAUAAUUAAGUUCUCCCAG
Humulus lupulus (European hop) is the source of this 941-nucleotide long non-coding RNA. RefSeq lists it as uncharacterized. Lineage: Eukaryota; Viridiplantae; Streptophyta; Magnoliopsida; Rosales; Cannabaceae. The record is from RefSeq and is a predicted model, not a curated record. The transcript has 3 exons.